CACAUGAGUCAAGAGGAAGUAGUAGUAAUUAUUUAUUGGUCAGCACACAUUCAUCAGGUACUCACCACAUAUGUGCACCUGUUUAUAAGGGUCAUUUCUGUUCUAGAGUUUACCAGAGUUCACCAACCCUGUGAAGAGACAGGCCAGGAGUUCAGCCUUCUCAACCAUGCUUUGUGCCUUCAACCUCUAAACCAUUCCACAGAAAGAAUGAGACAUCUCAGUUGAAACUAAUACCCAAAAGGAACCUGAAUGGCACCUUUAAAAAAUAUCUCAUCCAGUCAUCCAGAACCUUUGUUUCUCUCACUUUAGAAGAGGUGAAAGAAGAAAGCUUGAGUCGUAAAUUGAAGACCUUCCUGUUACCUUCCUUUUACAGAAACAAAAGCAGCUUGUCAGGCAAAGAUUAUCUGAAUACCUUGUGCUUAACAAACAGACCAGACGAAUAUAUUCGUUCAGUGGAGUGUUUGCGUAAGGAAGCUACUGAAACUUACUGUUCUUGAGAAUGUUUCCUCCCCAUCUCACCUGCAGGGAAAGAGCACCGACUUCCUCCCUAACCUUAAGUACAGACCAAUAAGCCCUCCUGAACAAGCCUUCAUUCAUGAAGUUGUCUGUUCUGACCCACCUCUCCACAUUGCCUUGGCCAACUCUCCUGACCCUGUGCUCCUGGGAAAAUUACUCAACCUCUCUGAGCCAUGUGAGAUGUGAAAAACCUCAGUUAAAUGUCUGAAAAGGGCUCACUGGUAUAACCUGAUAACUGUUUAGAGCAUGCCUCAAAGAGCACUAAGUUGCAAAGAAGAACUCAUUCCAUGCUCCAUGACUAACCUUAAACCAGGCAUUCACAACUUGAAAUGUGUUCAUAGCAUAGCCCUGUAAACUUCAGGUAAAGGUCACAUUUCAGACCUUUUUUGUAAACAGUAAAUUAUAAUAGUAAGUUACACGUGAAGACACUGUCCUUACAACACAUCAUAUCAUGACCAGUACAGCCUAAGGGUCCUCCGAUCAUCCUCUCCCUCCUGGGUUCCUUGUAAAUGUUCCCAGUGUUACUGGUUUGGUAUAUCUCUUUCUGGUCCUUUUUCCUAGCCAUUUAUACAUACAUCCUUGAAACCACAAAAAAGAUAAAGCAGAAGAGUAUAGACUCCAGGAUAGCCAUUAUGGAGGAGAAUCUGCCUCUGCCAAUAUUUAGUCAUAUUAAGUACAUAAAUAUCCCAUGAUCCAUUCAUCCUGUUGGAUGUGUCUCCCAGUGACUCGACCCACAGAUCCAUGAGUGCAUGUUCACAGAUGUUCCCUGCAACGCUGUGUGUGGAAACUGGGAGUUGCAAGAAGAGAUAAGGAAACCCAUGGUGACAGCAAAUGUCUAACAAGGUAGAUAGAUGGAUUAAUCAUAAGAACAUAGCGCUGAAUUUAGAAAGUGAGAAAUACUAAGUGCUAGAGCACAAAACUAUUUGUGUAGAUUUAAAAACACACAAAUCUCAUCUGCCAUAAUAACCACAUACCUCAAAUGAUUGCCAUGAGUAGGGUAAAACAUGAAAAUAGUCCCUGUCAUGUGUUAAGCACUUAGUAAAUAUUCACUAUUGUUAGAUAAAAAGAUGUUCACAGUAUACUAUAAACUUUCUAUUACAAAA
This 1619-nucleotide long non-coding RNA is filed under the name Homo sapiens (human). Its description in RNAcentral is "HSALNT0306987". The record is from RNAcentral. Lineage: Eukaryota; Metazoa; Chordata; Mammalia; Primates; Hominidae.